This 85-nucleotide transfer RNA is filed under the name Caudoviricetes sp. RNAcentral's name for it is "tRNA-Arg". It matches the Rfam family "tRNA". From Rfam's summary of the family: Transfer RNA (tRNA) molecules are approximately 80 nucleotides in length. Their secondary structure includes four short double-helical elements and three loops (D, anti-codon, and T loops). The record is from RNAcentral. Lineage: Duplodnaviria; Heunggongvirae; Uroviricota; Caudoviricetes.
UCGGCAGUGGUUCAAACGGGAGAGCGGUAUAAGUCGAGUAUAAGGAUCGAAUAUACAGUUGCGGGUUCGAGUCCCGCCUGCCGAA